GUAGCAUAAUCAUUAGAGAUUUAAUUGGGAUCUGGAAUGAAGGGUUGGACGAAGGAAAAACUGUCUGUAUAAUGUAAUUUGAAAUUUACUUUUAAGUGAAAAGGCUUAAAUGCAUCAAAGGGACGAUAAGACCCUAUAAAGCUUUAUAAAUAAAUUUAUAUUCAAUUAAAUUAACUAAUAAAAAUUAAGUCUAAAUUAUAUUAUUUCAUUGGGGUGAUGUGAGCAAAAAUAUUACUAACUGCUUAAUAAAAAUACUAAAGUAGGAGUAUUUAUGAUAAUGGUCCUUCUUAGAGAUUAAAAGAUUAAGUUACUUUAGGGAUAACAGCGUUAUUUCUUUUGAGAGUUCUUAUCGAAAAAGAAGAUUGCGACCUCGAUGUUGAAUUAAAAUAUCUAUAUAAUGCAGCUGUUAUAAAAGAAGGUCUGUUCGACCUUUAAAUUUUU
Molecule: ribosomal RNA, 441 nt
Filed under: Xanthias joanneae
Lineage: Eukaryota; Metazoa; Arthropoda; Malacostraca; Decapoda; Xanthidae
Description: partial large subunit ribosomal RNA
Rfam family: Bacterial large subunit ribosomal RNA
Source: RNAcentral